RNAcentral lists this ribosomal RNA (459 nucleotides) under uncultured bacterium. Its description in RNAcentral is "partial 16S ribosomal RNA". It matches the Rfam family "Bacterial small subunit ribosomal RNA", at positions 338 to 795 of the family's 1533-position model. The record is from RNAcentral.
CCUACGUGGCGCUGCAGUGAGGAAUAUUGGUCAAUGGGCGCGAGCCUGAACCAGCCAAGUCGCGUGAGGGAAGACGGUCCUAUGGAUUGUAAACCUCUUUUGUCGGGGAGCAAAAGACGCCACGCGUGGCGUUCCGAGAGUACCCGAAGAAAAAGCAUCGGCUAACUCCGUGCCAGCAGCCGCGGUAAUACGGAGGAUGCGAGCGUUAUCCGGAUUUAUUGGGUUUAAAGGGUGCGCAGGCGGAAGAUCAAGUCAGCGGUAAAAUUGAGAGGCUCAACCUCUUCGAGCCGUUGAAACUGGGGCUCGUGAGUGGAAGAGAAGUAGGCGGAAUGCGUGGUGUAGCGGUGAAAUGCAUAGAUAUCACGCAGAACCCCGAUUGCGAAGGCAGCAUGCCGGCUUCCGACUGACGCUGAAGCACGAAAGCGUGGGGAUCGAACAGGAUUAGAUACCCUUGUAGUC